AUGGUUAUGAUGGUGAUUGUAUGAGAUUCAAAAGGUAACUUGAGCAAAGAUUUUAUUUGGCAGAUAUGUGAAAUAGCAAAAUACACCCUGGAAUUCAAUUUGUAUUUGAUUGCACAAUAGCUAAUUUCUUCAGCUACUUUUUCAGCUUCCUCUUAACACUUAUGUUUUCGCUUGUAAGUUUUUUGUUUGGAUAUAAUGAGGCUUUAUGUCUUCUUAUGCCUUAUCUUAUGUGGGUGGUAGAAAAAUCACUCUACUGCUCCAAUAUUUGUGGUUGCGUGGGGCAGGUGGUUUCACGCAGAGCAAAAUGUCUGCAGUAAAUAAAAAAUAAAGAAGAGGAAGCUUCUUUCCCUUCUUUACACAUCUGGAACCUCUGCAAAAGCCCAGACUGAAUUUCAGAGAUGGAGAGGCCCUUUGCCAGUCCUUGCAGUUUUCGGUGACCUGGAGCUGAGUUAGGUUUUUACUGUGCAGUGACGGCCAGAAUGUCCCAAAUCCCAGCUGCCUCCUGUGUUGCCUAGGGGUCCUACUUCUUUUCUCUCCUCUUGGACUUCAGGCACUGCUUUUUCCCACCCCUCCCAAGACUCAUGCAUGGAACAGGUUAGGACUAGCUCUCUGGGACUUGUGUUCAAACACAAAAUGUGGUGAGAGUCUGCAUGAGCUGAUAGUACUCUCAGAAGUGCAACUCCUUGCAUGGUGAGUGUGUUGAGCUCUUGUUCCAGGCAGAGAUGAAUCCUGGAAAUUUGUCUGCUGGGGAAAAGUAAUUCUGUCUCAAUAUUCCCUUGGAUAUCACUCUCAGACAGCUGAGGAACAGACCAGGUAUAAUACAUUCUAAUUAUAUAAUGUUUAGGUGUUGAUGCUGCCACCUAAGGAACUAGGGAUUUUAAGUCAAAAUUACCACAGCAGAUUUCUAAGGGGAGAUUUCAUCUACUUGUUAAUGGUAAGCUCCAGGACUCAGGCAUUAGGAUGUUCAUGCCAGUGAAUUUGUAGGCUUUGAGAUUAAUUCUUAGUGAAUCUACAAUUUCCUCUGAAGUUUUAGGCUAACCAAUCUGAGGCUGCUGUCACACCCUACAUCCCACCCAGAAGACCUGCUGAUCUACUGUCUGUACAUAUUAUAUCAAGGCCAAUUUCUGGAUAGCUGAAAUCAGUGAUCAGUGAUCCACCUAAGGCUCCACCCCAGGGAAGUGGUAGAGUAGCCAUCCCUGGAGGUCUUUGAGAAACUUGUAGAUGUGGCACUGAGGGACAUGAUUAGUGGAUGUGGUGGAAUGGGUUGACGGUGAGACUAGAUGAUCUUAGAGAUCUUUUUCAACCUUAAUGAUUCUAUGAUUCUUUAUUAUGUUUUAUGAUCUUUAUGGGGAGUUCCUCCUGUAGCCAGAAGGCCAUGUGCAGCUCGCCUGUCUUCACGGACCAACAGUUGUGAAGAGAAGGAAACGAAACCGAAAAUCCUCUUUUGUUCAGAGGCAAAUGAUUAACUCCUGUAAGAGCACAGCACCUUUCUCAACCAUGUGCCCACCAAUGUUGCGUCUUGCAGAUGCUUUUGUAGAGAAACAGCAAUCAUCUCCACCAAAUGUAGGCGAAAACUUAAAAUCACAGAAGAGACUGAACAUAGUUAAAAAUGAGAGCUGCAGUGGGAUGUUUCUGGGCCAGCAAUUCUCCACUCCAUGAACCUUCUGCUUCCCUUCAACAGAGAUCGGCAGCAUCAGCAACCAGACAAUUCAGAAUGGAAGGCUUUCAGGUUUAAGAUGAUGUAAACCCACAGAAAUGCAAGAUGAUUUGAACUGCGCCACAUCCAUGACAGUUGGUCGGCAGAGAUAUUAGCCAAUGAUGGUAGAAGAUACUUACGUGAAAAUGUUCGUAAGUAGGAAUGCUUAAAUAUAACUACAGUUAUUUCUUUGAGGACCAGAAAUAUAUUUAACCGGUUGCUUAAGCUAAUAUUUACAGAUGUAAGCUUCAGCAGUUAUCCCAGAGACAGGAAAAUACCUGAAAAUAGUAUCACCUUAUGCUAUUUGUUUGCUGAAUAAGUGGUUUGGUAAGAAAGAAAACUGCAAAAAUAGUAAUGGGUUUUUACCCAUUUUAAGUCUUACCAUGCUACAGUCAAUAUUACGUAAUAUCAUGGUGAAAACUUUGUUAGCAAAUUGAAAGAGCUAAAUUUUCUAUAAACUAUGGAUAAAAAAAAGUUUUUAAGUAUCUCAAAAUUUUCAAGUUAACAAGAACAGAAUAUCAGCACUUAUCCUCUUUCCUCAUUAAAACCUGGCAUCUUUCAGGUCAGACAUUCUGAAGGUACCUGCAGAACUUCAUAUUAAACUACCUGUUCUUUCCCUCUAUGUGCUGAAAGUAUUUUGCUCCUUUAGAAUUUAUAAUUACCUUAGAUAAUGACUUCUUAGGACUCAGCGUCACAAUCAUAUUACUGUAAUCUAACAAAUGACCAUGAAUCAACUGAACAGAAAUAAUGGCUUAUGUAUGUAUUCUUAGUGAUUGGCAAAUGAGACAUUUCUGACACUAAAAGAGCAUUACCUAAGAUAGUGCAAGGGGCUUAGGAUCAUGAACAUAUGGGACAUUACAUAUUGUCUCGACUUUGCUGAUGUUAGGAAUCUUUUUAAACUGUAUUCUUUUGUGGAUUGGGACCUUUGCUUGCUUAUAGCCACAGAAUCGUGGAAUGGCCGAGGUUGGAAGAGGUAUCUGGAGUCAUAUGGCCCAUCCCUGCUCCAGCGGGACAACCCAGAGCAGGGUGCCCAGGCCCACAUCCAGGUGGCUUUUGGAGAUCUCCAAAGAGGAGACCCUCUCUGUGUCCCCGUGCCAGUGCUCUGUCUCCUGUAUAGCACUGAAGUGCCUCCUGAUGGACAGGGAGAACCUCCUGUGCCCCAGUUUGCACCCGUCACCUCUUGUCCUAGCACUGGGCACCACUGACAAGAGCUUGUUCGUGUCUUCUUUGCACCUUUCAGGGUGGUCUUAUAAGCCUUUAAGAUGUAGCUCCGAAAGGUAGGCUUUACAUAAGAGCUUCAGCUAAUGUGAGAACUUUGUAAAAUCCUAAAUAAUGUCUCUGAAAUUAUGGGUAUCUGAUCUAUUUCUCUGCAGGGGAAAAAAUCUCCUAAUGACUCUGACCUUCUACUGACAGGUUUUUCUGUUGACUUGAACAUUGCGGGAGUGGCUGCUUAAAGCUGGAAAUUCCCACCCAUUUUCCACUGUCUCUCCCAGGAGACCAGCAGAUGUUUGUUAUUAACUUUUAGCAGAUAGAUUUCUUGUUGAUAACUUAGUUUACCUUUUUAUUGCACAGAGGAAGCUGGGAAAUGCAUUGUUAUGAAGCACAACCUUUAAAAAUAUCUCCAUAUCCCAGAUUUUCUGUAAUAUUUCUGAAAAACAAUGUGUUUUCAAGGAACAGAGAUGAUUGGUUGAGUUUUCAAGCAUUUUAAAAUUUUGAAAUUAAAUGUAGCUUAGUAAUUAGUAUCCUGAUCAACCGAAUCUCAGUGUACCUGAAGAUCUCUUUUGUAUUAUCUGUAAGAUACACGGCAAUCUUCCUUGCAAAAUUAUUUGAAAUUUUUAUGAACAAAUUACAAAUCUACAAAUUAAAAUUUACUGGCUUGUCUUUUCCUGUAAUCAAAUCAGAAUGGUGUUGCCAAAAGAGACUUCUAUUUGCUUGAAACAGAUCUUGCGCAGAGCCUUUUCAGCAUCUCUGGUUUCAUUUGGGACUUUUUGGCAAUUUUUGGCAAUAUUCUUGGCAAUGGAUAUGUUUCUCAAUGAAAAAUUGAAUUUUGAAGCAAACAACUGAAAAUAUUUUCUCCUAAAAUCUUUCAUGAAAAGACACAUUAUCGAAUUGAAUGUUUUCUGUGUCCAUUAAUGGUCACAGUGAAUGACACGCUGAUAAAGCAGGGAUCACAGGUUGCAUCUGUUCAUCUUGUGCGUGAUUCAAGUCAACUGCUUCAUCUCUUGCAUGUAAGGAAUCCUGAUGGCACUGAAGUUUCUUUGUGCUGUGGAAGCAUGCACUAUUAAUAGUAAUAAUUGCCUUUAGCUUUCUGACAGAGCAGUGUAUUUUCACUGUACCAAGAGAGAUGCCAUCAGCUUUCAGCAGUUUAAAUUAUAUUCAGGUUAACAGAGUCAAUGCUUUGUCCAAUUAAUGAAAUUACACUAAUGACAAAUAGCCAAAGAAGCAGCUGUAAUAUUUGAUGCCUAAUUGCUAUCCAAACCGCUUGUAAAGAACAAAUUACCGUGACUAUCCUAUUAAAAUAUAAAACUGCGUGCAUGAAGACACACAGCUAGGAGUGCUCAGUGCUAGGGAGGUUUAAGACAUGAUUGAUCUUCUCCUGCAUGUACACAAUUGUCAGUGUACGUGCAAACUGAACAUGAAUUUGAGCCCAUCUACAUCCAAGUGGUGCAUGUUCUCUGGCUAGACAAGGGGCAUAUCAAUGGUCAGUCGUGCAUAUCAGCAUAGCAGCAGUCACAUCUAACAUGUGAACUCAGUUUCUCAUCACUGUGUAGAAACAUCCUGUAGCCAAGAGGAAGAAGUGUCUCAGCAAAAACUUGGGGUGUGCUCCCUCAGAUGAGCCUUGUUUGUGCCAUACCUCAUGCUCCUGUUUUGAGUACAUCUUUUUAGGUUAAUGUCCAUGACUGUCAACUGAAGACUUGUCUGAGGUGUAACAGAAAUGGCCAAACUCUUCCCUUGGUUCCUAGGGUGUUGCAUCAUAAAUGUAAGUAAUAACAACCUGUGGCUAUCAUAAUUAAUAGGCCUACUUCUACGCUUCGAACUGAGAAGGCUCUACUGGCGCAAGGAACACCAUGCUGCUCACUAGCCGGGGAAAACCUUCAUCAAGAAACUCAUAAAUAAAUCAAUCUAUUUCCCCAGAUUACUCACCCCAAGAUAGCUCUCUGUCUUCUGAAACCUGUGAGAAAGCAAAUUGCUGAAAUGCAAGUGUUUGUGGAGAUAUGGGAUCGUUUAACACUGGUUACCACCUCGGGCACUCUGGAAAGUCUCUGUUACACAAGGUUCAUUGCAGAGAUCUGAAUAUGUGCUAAACGAGCCCUGCAUCUCUGCCUUGUAGCUCUGAGAAUGCUAGGCAAGUAAUUAAGAAAUCACACGGCACAGGUGUGCCAGGUGAAUUUUGGUAGCUUGCUUUUGAUCUAAAUUGAGAUGCUCUGGGGAUUUAACUUCUUAAACAAAAAGGGCAUAAAUAAAUAAUCAGGAUUUUUUUUUUUAAGGUUGGAACAUGCAGGCUAUAAAAUUUUAUACAAGUAGGCAAUGCGAGCAGAUUGUUUAAGGCUAGGGCAUUGUUUUAAAUGGGGGUGUUGUUUUCAUUAACUUCGGUCUGAUUAGUUUUUUCACUGGGACUUUCCCCACUGAUAUAAACAGGAACAAUAUUUGGUUGUUGGGAACUAACUCCGGAAUAAGUUAAGAGAGUGUCUUUAAAAAUAGACCUUAAAAAACCAACAAGCCACACCAAAAGUUGGAAUAUUAAUUAUAAUGCAGGAAUUACUGAGUACUUCUUUUUAAUAUUCAUAAUUGAAAAUGAGACAGCUUUAAAGAUUGUAAUGAGCGCUUCAGAGUAUCGCUCUCUACUUAGAGCAUUACUUCAUAGCUGGAAGCCAAGAAACAGACUGACAGUCAAUUCUUAAAUUAUUCCAAGCCCACACAAUAGGCUCUUGCCACAAAUUCUCGGCAUGGGGCCUAUUUUGCUACCAUGUGGGUGUGGUGAGAUUGGGAUAAACAAGAACACAACUGCCCACUUUUGAGUUUUCAUCUUCCCUUAGGUUCAGUCUUACACAGAUACUUUCAGUUAGUUUGAAAUGUUUCAGUCCUUAUCUUUUCUUCCCCAACUGCCUGAUAAACCUGAGAUCAAAACUCUUGUGAAAAGAGUUCCCGAGUUAGAAAAAAAUGUGCCAGAAAAUAGAAGUAUUGCUCUGAAAGUUCUAGCCUGUUCUAUAGUCUUCUGAAGUACGAAAGCUUUCAUAUACUUUCUCCAAACAAAAUGGGUGGCUAUCUCUGAUCUAUCAGAAUGCCCUUAAAUUACUUCUUUUGAUACCUUGGGGAAGAAAGAUAGCAGAGGUGAUGUCAUAGGGCUCCUUCCAGCCUUGCUUGUGUGAUGUCGGCUCCUCACUUCAGAAACUUAAAUGUAAGGGAGGACACACACAGGGUAGAUCUCUGGAAGGGUGCUGUUACAAAGCUCUCAAUACUACAGAUGUGUUAUAGUCAGUUUGCAAAUACUAAUUUAUUCCUGUUUUUAAGAAAAACAGGAGACCAAUUUUCACUAUGGGUUGAAACCUCUCUUCAAUGAGACUUUGGUAUUGUGUGUGAUUUACUGUUUGAAGUUCAGUACUGUGGGAAAGUUGUGAUUGCAGGGUACCAGUGCAGUGUAUGACGAAGAGAAAUAGGAAUGGUGGAAAUAGGAAUUGAUGGAGGAGUUGGUCUGUAACUCUGAAAUCCAGAGCUGAGUACAACUUGUGAUUUUGCAAAGGUUGAAUUCUGACUUGCAUCAGAUAUAGAGAAAGACUGAAGUAACAAAGAACAGUUUUUCCUCCUAUUCCAAGUACUGGACAGCUGCUUUAGCACAUCUCCAGCAGGAGUAAAAUGUGCUGUUACGUUCUUUUCUGUGUAGAGCCCUGAGGGGAAAAUUGAUGCCCCUCAAAUAGGAUCUUAUCGCUGGUUGUUGUUUUCUGCUAAAAUGUCCUCUGCACUCUGUUUAAAAGAACAAGGCUGUUCUGUCACUUCUACUCUUAGGAGACCUGGAGUGUUAAUAGGGUUUUUUCCAUUUCAUUUAUUCCAUCACUGCCUCCUGUUCUCAGUCUAAAUCUUGAGACUAAGAAUCAAAUAUUUUCACUGAAAAGCACUGAAAUUUAGGAUUUUUUUUCCCCGUGAUAUUCCAUAGAGAGGAACAUUAUCAGCUGUAGUGAAGGGAAAUUCUGCCCCUUGGUGUGACCUUUUACUCCAGUGAUUGGUGUACAGAAUUUGCCUUUCUUCCUUUUUCACUGCUCACCAAUAUUUCCCACAUCUCUUUCCCUCCAAUUAAAAUAUGAGUAAAUUAAAAUGAAAGUGGGGAUUAUUUUCAGCUAAACACUUCUAGUCUGGAUUUUUCUCCAGAUAGCGUUUUCCCCCCAGGAGCUGUUGGAUUUCUCAUGAGAACAAAGAUAUUCUGGUAUUUUGACUUUGAGGAGAUCUGAAAUAUUAAUGAUAACAUGGGAGUAAUGAGGAAAUCUGGACUGUGAAUAAACUCAGCCUGUGCUUCACUGAGGUCCCAGGUAUCAGCCCCUCCCAUAUUGUUGCAGGGAAAGGUGUGCUUCCUGCAUUGCUUCGGCUCUCACAGGGAAUAAGUAGACCACACUGAACUACGAAGACAAAAUUCUGUCACUCCAGAGUUCAAGGACUGCUUUCUUUUAAGCACACUUCAAUAAGAAUGUCUUCUCAUGUCACAAUGAAAAUAAGAGAAUUUGGUGAAAGCACUUGGAUGACCUCCGUGAAAUGAAUUGGGUAUGGGACGUGUUGCCUCCUCUUCACAAGAGGUCUCAUGGUUGAGCAUCUUCUCCUCACUGAAAAGGUUAAAGCAGCCAUUCAAAUGUGCUCAUGUGUAUUGCAACUGUCCCCACUGUAAAAGUAGGCAACCAGAGAGUUUAGCCUUGCAGCCCCAUUCAGGGAGAAAUGCAAGGACAGACAAAGCCUGUUCCAUAGGUAGCUCACACAGAUUUCCAAAUGCAGUUAAUUAGGGCCAUGGAUGAUAGGCUCCCAGAAAUGAAACAAUCAAUGUCAAUGUCUACUUUCAACAUGCAGCUCAAGCAUCAUGUUGGAUCAUAUUCGUACUAAGAUCCUUCACCUUGUCAUGUUGGUCUAUUACUGCAGUGGCAACAUAUUAAUUACUAGGGAAAUUAAUUUUCUUGUCCUGCUUCAACAAUGAGGACCCUGUGGACUCUCCUUGGUUUCCAGACUUGUUAUCUCUUACAAGAGUGAUAUACUCAGCAUUUGAAGUUAAUUCUCCCAUUUUAAAGGUAAGAAAUUGAAACUCAGAUAUGUUAUACAAGUUCACACUUCCAUCAUAGCAUUAAUUCAAGACGCUAUUUCCCCCAAACAAAGUGCUAUUUCAACAAUUGCAUAUGCUGCAUUUAGUUUAGAACUUGUUUAUGAGUCAUAGUUAUAAGCAUAUGUAAUAAAGAGCCUGACUCUAGGAUCUAUGGCUACUCAACAUUUGCAGGCAUAUCUGAAUGUUACAGAGAUAGCAAGCAUGGUUAUAAAAAUAUUUGUGCAGUAUGAAAUAUUAAUGAACACCAUUUAAUUGUUUAAAAAAUGCAAAAAAAUUAAUCAUUUGAUAUUUUCACGAGUAUCUGUUUUUACUUUUGAGUAGGCUCUAUCACAAGAGGGCUCCUUUUGUUUAUUACAUAGGCAAAUUUGCUACUUGGUAAAAUAAUAACCAAAUAAACAAAAAUACAAAACAAAGAAGCCAACAGGUAUGGUGCUGACUUAUAGCCAGAUCUGCCCCAGGUAUUUUCUUCUGUUUUGAAAAUGAAAGCUUAAUCUAAUUAGAUCUUGGAGGAAAAUAGUUGUGAUAUGUUUUCUGUAGGUAAAAGGACAUGCUUAAUGUACUUUAUUUAUGUUACUGAUUUUACAGUAAGUAAUAAAAUUUAUUUAUUAAUAAAAUGCAUAGAAUCUGUUUGAAAAUGGCUUUUUAAUGAAGUAUAAGCUUUAUUAGACAUAGGUUAAUAAAACACAGCAUUACAAUAAUACAGAUUUUGUCAAUAUGUGAAACAUGGGAGCAUAAAUUGACCUCAGUCCUGCUGCAUAUGGCUAUUGAUUUUGGUUACAAACCAGGAACUAUGUCUUGUGUUUAUUUGUUUCUACACUGUAUCUGAAAAGAUUUUCCUCCUCCCUCCAUCAAAACACUUCCAUAUUUUACCACUUUCCGGUGGAAAUGACAGCAGUAAAGAUUUGCAAACCACGUGAGAAAGGACACAAUUUCUUGAUCAUUAAUAUAUUAAAUAGGGACUGAAAGGCUCACCAUGCUUGUUUGGACAUCCCAACAUUGCUGAGAUUUCCAUAUGAUUUCACAAAUGGACUGAAAGAAGAUGGACAAGCGCUGGGAGAGGGCCAGUUGUUAUGUGCCAUUUGAUUCCAUUAUUUCCUUGCCAGUCAACCAAAACCUUUGUACAGAUAGUGAAAAAGGGAAUAUUGCACUAUAGUCUCUUUGGAUACUGCAUAACAUGAAAGAGGAUGAGCUCCUCCAAGCCUCCGACACCAAGAGCUGCGGGAACAUUCUUUGUGAUUUGUUUGCUGAGGAGAGUCUUACAUAGAUCAUAGCAUCAGCACAUGCCAUCCCCUGGAACCAAAGCGUUGUUUUAGAUGACUUCUAGACAUACCUGUGAGUACUUCUGAACAUUUCAGAGUGUAAAUGAUUCUGUUAGUGCACUGUUUAUUGGCUACCUCUUGUAACUCUUACAUAACCCAUAAUAAAGUAGUGGGCUAGGCUGUCUAGUGAAACAAUACAAUGUGACAAUUAGCAUCAUCAUCAUCCUGCAGCAGAACACUCUUACCUAAUAUGACAGGUCUGAAAAGAAUUAAGCAGCUCUUUCCAUCAAGGGUUUGUGAAUGUAGUAAAGAGUUUUCUGCAGCUGUUAAGUGGUGUGCUAUAUCUUAUAGAGAACUAUAGUAUAUAUAUAUAUAUAUAUAUAUAAUGUCAGCCGCUGGGCGUUAGUUAGAUUAAUGUCCUCUCCUUAACAUGAACGCAUGGAAGGUAGACCAUGUGAUUAUGCAGCUAUGGUAAUUAUCCUUCAAAGAGUUGGAAGGCUUUGACGUAACCUCUGUGUCCCAAAUUUGUUCGUUCCAGUACUCGCUAGAGGGAAGAAUAAGGACUUGAAUCUGCAAGCCUUUCCCAUGUGACAAUCUGGUAUUGCGCCUUAUAGAAUCUGGCAAAACUGUAAAUGACAGGAACCUUUUUAAGAACUAAAUGACUUAGCAGAGACUUUUUUUUCCCCUGAUAAAUAAAUUCUCUGAUAUGCUGUUCAAACAUGCAGGGACAUGCAUGAACCGCUGUAAGUACUCCAAUUUAUAACUGCUUUGCAACAGGCCACAACAAGCUAGAAUCAUCUUUUAAGUAUUUAAUUUUUCUGUUUUGUUUUGUUUUUUUUUUUUUUUGUACAUCUUUACAGCAUGUUAGAAUGCACCUUGUAAUAAAGCAAUUUCUCCACAGUAUAUUAGUAAUCAGUAAUUAUUCUUCAGAGUUCUGUCUGCAGUGCAGUGCCUCUUGACUGGAAAUGUGAAGGCUGAAUUUGUUGCCUCACAGCUUGCCUGUGAGAGUAUCCAUUCCACUACUCACAAAGACAAGAGACAUCCAGCAUACAGUAACCCUUCAAUUAUUUCAGUUAUUUUGAUCUGACUAGGUGUUCAGUCCAUAUUAACUAUACAGUCAACAUUUCAACUUAUAUCAAGUUUUCACUGUUUUUGGUUGCAGUAGAUAUUCUUGUCAAGAAGGGAGUCAUUUGAAUCAUUAGAAAUGAGUAGAAACACAGGCUUUUUAGUCUAGACCCGAUACUCGUGGUGGAAGACUAGUUCUUGGCUGGUUAGUUCAUGCCUAAGUCCUGCCAGUCCUUUAGGGCAGGAUUAUCACAUGAAUUUGGAUAUAAAGGUAUUCAAACACUUUCCUAUAAAGGAUUUUCCUGAGGAUACUACUCAUAGUGGGAGCCUCAACCCACUGCUUUCCAUGCCCAGGAGCCUUGUUUCAGUCCUGCCUGGUGCUGGUUGUCUUGCUUUGGCAAUGUUGCAGGAGAACUGCCCUACAGCAGUGUCUCUGGGCCCACCUCCUUCUGCUCAUGGCAGGUUGAUGGCUUGCUGUGUUGGGGGCUGCCAGUGGAUGAUGUUAUCAGCCCUGGCUCUACCACUGCCUCAGCCCCAGUGGAACUGUACCACCAAGGAAGGCCUGGCUCAACAGUCUCAGUGGGUCACAAGCACCUAAAUUUUAUUAUAUUGUCUAUGAACUAUCUCUAUUUCUAGGAAGAAUAACAAGAGCAGUGCUGAGAUAGAACCACUGAUGUUAGAUUUGUUGGUAGGGACAAAAAGAUUUUUUUUCCCCUCUGUCUAUGCCUGUGUAUAUUUCUAGAUCUAGCUUGUACUUCUUGUCACUCUGAGGAUCAUCAGAUUUUUUCAUGUAAUUCAAGUGGAGCUUUGCCAAGAAAAAUUGUUAAUUUUAGAUUCUAAUUUUCAAUAAGAACAGGUAAGGCAGGACACCUAUGAAUCAGUUGAUAUGGAUAUUUACCCAAUAAGGAUAUACUAUUUAACAUGAGGUCAUACCAAACCCAGACACAACUUCUUUUUUCCUGUUCAGAUAUUCUUCCCAGCUGCCAGCAGACAAAGUCUCAUCCCUUUGUACACUGGAGGUACUGUGAACUAGUGCGAGUGUCAAACUGCAUUGUAUACAUUCAAAGAGAAAAAUGUUACAUUUUCAAGAUCAAUGGAGAUCAUCUACUUUCAUGAUGCAUUGCUCUCACUAACAGUGAUGUACGGGAAGCACCUGAGAGUCAAUCUGGAAACUUCGUUGGCCAGGACACAACAAUAUCUCUUGGUUGUUGCUGCAUGGUCUGGCAGCUGUUGCUGCUAAUCUGGUUAUCAGGGCCUGCAGGUGUAUCUGUAUUUACACAACUGGCUUCUAAGGACCUACAUUUAUCAAGUCAUGAUUUAUACUCUACAGAUUGCUUUUUUUUCUUGCAUUCUUUUUAUUGAACAGUGAGGACAAGACAGGAUAAGGAAAGCUUGGCUUUAUUUUCAUGUAGGCUCAAGACUUAUUAAAUUCUCCUGCAUCAGUUUGCUUUCCUACAAGUGUCCCUGUCUUUGCUGAAAUGAGUUGCCAUGGAGAGCUGGCAGCAGCAUGGUUUAGGUACUGCACACAUCUGUAUAAUCCACCUGAGCACACUGGGUGCAUGCCAUGUAUUACUGCUGAAUGUGGACAGAGAGGAUUUCUUAUUUGGGUUCAACAGCCUAUGAAUACAGAUCUGGCUUCAUGACCUGGCAUGGCGUCUCCUCCUGGCGCUGCACUGAGCUGGGAGCUGGGGAUCUCUGCUAACAGAACAGACAUGCCCACUUUAGUACGUGCAGGUUGCAUCCAGAUGGGUGAACUUUCUGGCUUUCAUUUGAUGCUUUUCUCCCCUAGAUCAUAGGGAAGGUGGGUCUGGCAGACAGUGCCCUGAGCAGUGGUUUAUUUGAAGAGUCUCCAGGGUAUACAAACGAAUACUCACCUCCUCUUGGGAUAAGAAAUGAAGUUACUGCAUGUAAUUUCAAAUGCCCAUAAGUUUUCAGUGGGAAGGUGACUCUGAAGAAUGUAGUUUGGGUUUAUCAGGCUUAAUUCUGUAUCUGUCAACUCCAUUAAUAACGGGCUCUUUCUUCUCUUUCCUCUGAAGGCAUCUUGCUUAAACUGUAAGGUCAGGAGUGUCAUUCUGGUGCUGUGCCAUUAAACUCCCUGCCAACACUUCCACUGGCUUUAUUAGGUACCUCCCACUCCACAAAUCACUUCAUCUGGAUUUCCAGGAGAAAUAGUGCUUCUUGGAAUGACUGAGUUAUUCUAUGAAGUCGUGAUAUUUGUCAUGUGAAAUAAUUGUCCAGAGAUAUUGUCUUUUUAUUGGAUUUUUUUUUUAAGAUUAGUUUUUGUUCUUGAUGAUAACCUCGGUUGCCCUGUGAUAUGACCAAAGGUUUCUUGGCAGCUAGGUGUCUUUCAUAUUACUGUAAGUCACCUAUAAAUGUUUUGAUGGGAGUGCAUAUUCAUGAUCAUGAUGAAUGAAACUGAAAUUUUAGUUCUCUGUUGGCCUCCAAAUGUUCUUCUUUCUCUGUCCCUUCUUGGACCUGUCGUUAUGGCUUUUGCUGUUGGCAACCAAGCAGAAUGAUAAUGGGGAGUCUUCCAAAUAUAAAUGUUCAUAAAAAUGAGGCAACAGUAGCCAAGUACCACCAAGAAGAAAAAAAAACACUGAGUGCUAGAAUCCACCCAAAUUCAUGACUGCUAUUCUUUUUUUAUUCAUUUUGUUUAAAUCAGAAAUUCUGUCAUUAAUACUUCACUUCCAUUAUCUUCCAGUUUAUACAGAGCUGUGCUUUAUAAAUGUAGAGGGAACUACUGAUUAUUUCUGAGAUGGAACAAAACCUUUGAGAUUAUCUGCUUGUAGUUUCUGAUGAAGAUCCCAGGGCCAGCUCACUGCAGCUUUCAGAACAACUUGGUAGCUGCUUGGUGAAAUGGGGGAAAUGUAUCCUUCUGGGUCUCUGUCAAAAGGGCAGCUACCUGGAAACUGAAGGUCAUGGAGCAGAAUUCUUUGCAUUGGAAGGGAUCACUCACCUAGCUGGAGUUUGGGAAUAUCUGAAGACCAUGAAGAGAUGACCUGGAAGGCCUAGUGAGAAUAGAAGGGACUGCAGCCUUUGGGAAACUUUGCAGCUGAUACUGUACUCCAAAUACGAUGAGCAUCAGAAGAAUGCAAGAAAUCAGCAUCAGAUGAAUGCAAGAAAUCAGCAUCAGAAUGCAAGAAAACAGAAAGGAUAAGAAGAUCAUUUUGAGAAGUUUUCAAGGAGACAACUAGAAAAUGUUGAUUUCAAAGUUAUAGUGUAAUUCGAGUCAAUGUAUGAUGGAGCAAUGUGGAAAUUAUUCCAGCUUGACGAGAUGCAAGACCUUAUAAGUAACUCUACAAAAAUUAGAAUUAUUGGACGAGAAAAGCACCUCAAUGAUACAUUGCACUUCAGUGGCUUCAAGGGUCCCUGGAUGAAGCCAUUUAGCACUUGGUAUGUUUUGGAAACUUAGGUAUGGAGCAUUCCUGAAAGAGUCUGAACUCAGAUGCCAGACAGGUCCCUCAUGUUUCCAGCUUCUCUGAGUCUACAUAGUUUGGCAAUAAAUGGGGAACUGAGAGUGGCUCUGAUAACAGAACAAGUUCAGAAACUUAACGUUCUCUCAGACCUGAAACCAUGACAACUGACAUUGCUGACAUCCUUUUCACAAGUCCUAUUGCACUCUGUUAUCUUCAGCUUCUAACUCUGCUUUGAGAGAAACGUCUUUAUUUGAGGAGCUUAAAACAGCCUCAGGUCUUCAGGACUGUGGCCCUGUUUUCCAACGAGGAUGUGGGAGCUGUAAGGGCCAGUGAGAGACUUACUGCUAAUGGACACAUUACCUUUACAAUCCUGGAGUAUAUUGUUAUUCAGAUAACAGGAAAUACUCAUCAAUACUGCUUAAGGUCUGAAAAAGUAAAAAGGACAACCUAGCUGAUGUAACUACUCAAUUACAGUUAAGAUUUAGAUACAUUAACACAGGAAACAUUAAUUAAUGUGACUUCACUGACAGUGUCUUCAAGCUUUAACAAUGACUUCUAGCUGCUAAUGUUAUAGUUUUACAAGAUGUUAAUGCAAUUCUAAACAUUUUUUGAAGAAUAAGGCAGCUUGAGAGGAAGGGUGUAAAAUCUUUGAUUCUCUUCACCUUAAUAUUUAAAGAAUAAAACCAUUCUGGAAUAACAUCUUCAGAAGAGAACCCUCAAAUAUACAGACAAUCUUAUAAAACACAGAGUUUAUGGUAAAAAAUUAUGGAAAUAUAGAAAAUCAAGUCUGACAGGGAAAACAUGUUUGUGAACAGUUGGAACUGUUCUCCUGAGUGUCACUUUUAAUGAUAGUUCAUAGUCAUUGAGGCCAUUAAGAUUGGAAAAGACCUCCAAGAUCAAGCACAACCAUCCACCUACCACCAAUAUUUCCUCACUAAACCAUGUUCCUCAGUACAACAUCUAAACAUUUCUUGAACACCUCCAUGGACAGUGACUCCACCACCACCCUGGGCAGCCCAUUCCAGUGCCUGAUCACUCUUUCAGAGAAGAAAUUUUCCCUAAUAUCCAACGUGAAUCUCCCCUGGCGCAACUCCAGUUCUCUCCCCAAUCCCACUUGGAAGAGGAACAGUGAAUGAAUGACUGUGUGGUGCUUUGCCACUUGCUGGGUUAAACCACAACAGUAAGGCAAUCUUUUAAUUCAAUAUAUGCAACACUUAGUGCAGUAAGAUCUUGUUUAAUGGAUCUUUGGCAUUAUGUUACCAUCAUUUUUCUUACUGAAAUUUAACUUGAUCAAAUUCAUAGUGAAGUGGAAUGAAAUCUUCCCAGCUCACAAAACAUUACAGUAGUUAGAACAACUGCAGUUCUCAUCUGUUACAUUCUAGCCUUAUACCAGUGUAUUAAUGUAAAGGUAUAUUUCCCUAUAAGAUGAACCUCAAGAGGACCUAAAUUGCAUUUUUAUCAAAUAAUUUUGAAACAAUUGGAGGAUUGCUGGAAGAGUUCUUAAGUUACAGGAUGUUCUAUCCUCUCUUGCAGGCAGGUCAAGUCAUAGCACAUCCUGAAGCUGGUUCUGCUCUGACAGCAUGCCUGCAUGCCAUGCAAUGGCCUUGGUGGAGAAACAGUGCUGUGUCAGAAGGAGCUGUUGAUUCAUCAUGAUUAAAAAAUGAUCUUCAGAAUUCUUGGAAAAUGGAUGAAAUAUCCAUUAUAGAUUUUAUGAGUACUGUCUUUAACAUGAAAGCUUUUUAAAUUGACCAUGAUUCAUACUAAUAAAUGAAUAUACCUUAAAAAAAAAUAGAAUCUAGAAUACAGGACUGCAGAGAACAACUCAAAACCUACAGUGACUUUUUGAGUUACUCUGUGGUGAAGAAGUAAGUAGAGAAAGACAAGUUGAUGAAUUAGGCCAAAUACUUUGCACCUUUAACAUCUACUGAAAUGGAUGGGGGCUGAAGAUUCAUACAGCAUCUUGCACAUCAAGGCUUUGUUACCACUAUUAGGUCCUUUCCCAUUAUGAAAACUACCUACGAGACCAUCCUUGAUGUCUGAUGUGCCUUGAUGGGCAGAACUGGAAGAGGGACAGAACUGUGCUUCUGACUCCUGUUUACUCCAUACUGCAUGAUUGUUACGUUCAUGAACCUGGUUUGGCAAUCACUGUAAAGGAGGAAAUAGUAAUCAUGUAAUUUCUUCAUAUACUGGAAAAAAAUACAAGAAAUAAGGCUGAGCUGUUUUUAAACAACCAAAGAACUAUUUGGAAAAUAAUUACAAAGCAAUAAAUGGGCAUACGUGAGGCAUAUAUAUCAAGACAGUGAAAGACAGGAAGUAGGAAAUGACAUUUUUCCUGGCCUAAUGUAUGAUAAUAAUUACAAGAAAUUGCAAUUUAGAGAAAACACAUUUCUUUUUGCUCCUAUCUGUAUUUUGGUAAAUUACUGUUCUCUGUUGUGACAGAAAAUUAAUUGCUACUGUGGCUGUUGAUUGCUUCUUAAUGACAUUGUAAUACACAGCUUUUUGGUUCAAUGUUAUUCUCAAUUCAAAUAUCUUUGUAAAUAUCAUAUACGGACUAUCUUGUAAGUAUGAUAUGAUUCAAGUUAUGCUUGUAAAACCUCCACUUAAAAUGAAUCUCCAUGUGACAGGUAAUUGGCUGCGGGCCUUUUUUUUGUUAUUGAUUUAACUUAAUGCCAAUGUACACAGGUGUGUUGGCGGGUUGUUCAAGCUUCCAAGGCACCCACAUUUGGCAGGACAAUUAAUUGUUGCAUAAUAAGAUUAUUUUCCCCCUUCAGUCCUGAAUCUUUUCAAAAGUUGUAUUUUAAACCUUUGUAGGUAUGUAUGUGGGUGAGAGAAAAAUACCCAACAAUGUUACCAUGAGGCAUGUUUCGAUUUAUUGUUUGAGGUGCUCAAGGAAACAGCAACAUAUAGAUAAGAUAUCUGCAAAUAUAUAUUUGCCAACUGAAGUGGAAAAAAAGAACAAAAAGCUUUAUAUAAUCAGGCUUUUACAUGCUAUAUAAAAUUCUAUAUUGCUAUCAGACAAAAUUGCUUAUUUUAGACAGAAAUACUACACUGAAAAUAUUAGCUGUCCGGUCUGCUUUACAUGUAGAUAGGAGAUACAAUUUGCCCUUGGACACAGAAAUAUCUGCAUCACAGACGCCCAGCGAAGGACUCAUUUGAAUACUUUGAGCAAAAUCCUGGCUCUGUUGAAGUUGAUGGGAAUUUUGCCAUUAACUUUGGUUGGACUUCAGUUUGCUUCUCCAGUGUGUAGUAAGGUAUUCAUCCCUGAGGAGUACACAGGGUAAUCUGGAGAAAGUGAACAACGCCACAGGAGUAACAGCUGGCCCAAAUUCUAGGGAGAGCAGUGACCUUAGAGGAAAAGAAGAGGCAGCACUGCUGUGGGAAUGCAUUGUAUGGAGAGGUGGGAGGAGAUUUCAUGAAAGGAUGUACAAGAUUGUUCCAAGCAUAGCAGGUAGCAUGACUGAACGUGUAAAAUCAAGAGCUGAAGAAAACACUUCUACUUUCACAAGCCCUAAGAAAUGAAUGAAGAAUGAAAAGUGUUGUGUCCAAACUUUGGAAGAGCUGGUUCUGUGAAAAGCUGUGUGAUGGCUCUUCUUUUACCCAGGUGUUUAUCUUGGGCUUGGUUCAAAAGCAAGGAUUUGUUUUGCCUUCCAGAUUUAUCCACUAAAUUGUGUUUCAUGGGGUCAUGCAAUCAGCUGUCCUCUCAUAAGAAAAAGGCCACAGCUGAGGAAACCAGGCCAGUUCAGGACUGCAGAGCCUUUGCCUGAGUGACUCUGAGAAGCUGCAUUGCACCUGAGUGGAAAAUCACUCUCCCAGGCCGAGGGAUGAUUUUUUAUCCUGGUGCUUUUUUUUCUAAAAAAACUAUCCUGUCAAGCUGUGACUUAGGUUAAAAUCAUUGGCACCACAGACAAGAAGUUGUCUGCUUCCAUAUAGAAGAGCAGAUGAUACACAUUCUGUAAAAAUCCAUAUAAAAUAUUUAUCAAAAUCUCAUUGCCCUGGAUGCCUACCAGAGACAAUCUGAAAAUUAAAUAAUUACUGUUUAACUUUCUCUUUAGACACCCAAACACUUUAUUCUGCAGUAUAUGGCAAUGGAGUAAAACAUACCAAAAUAAAACUUUGUUGACAUAGAGCUUUGUUUUAAUUUAAAGGGCUCUCAGAAGUCCAGACUGCUCAGAAAUAAUCCCAUUUUUUCUUGGCUGACUUCAACAGCUGACAGACACUGAUACAGAAGAUGAGAUGCAUGUAUGUGUGAAAGAUGGUAAUGGUAAUGGUUUGCUCUCCACCAGCAGAAAUUAAAGCCCAGUCAGUAUUUUCAGAUUGCUUAUUAACCCUGUUAGAUUGGUUUGGGAGAAGAACCAUCCCACAUGGAAAAUGCUCCCAGCUGCUGUGAGCACAGUGCAGUAGAAGCAGGUACUGCCAUGUGUGCUACUGCAGACAGUGGUAAGCCCCCUCCCUUCCCCUAUGCUUAAAAACAAAACAAGACAAAACAAAACUCAGUUUCUUCGGUGUACACAAGAGAAUGUUUGGCAUUUGCUACUACUGAGCAGCAUUCUUGCCGUGUUUUGCUAUCUGUCAAAUGGCAUGCUCAUCCUCUGCCAAGAAAAAUACUUGUUUCCAAUACUAAUCACGCUCCCUGACUACCCUCUAGUGUAUAUUCUUCCUGGACUGCUAUCUGUCCAUGCAACAUUUGAAAGAUAUUAAAAUGAUUAUGAUGAAAUCUCUUGCUUACUGUGCUGGCAAGAGCUGGGAUAUGCUCCAGAGUCAAUGCCUGUAGUUCCCAGGGAGAAGGCAGUGCCUAAAGUUGCUUCUUACUGACUGCCUCCAUCCAUCCACAUGUAGGCAGGACAUUGUCGAGCUCUGUGUGGAGCCACAGACAGGCUCUGCUCUGGUGUAAUGUUGUUAAGGUAUGAGUUGCUGGAGAAAUGAUGAAUAAAGAGCAGUUGGUAGGUAGAUCCCAGAGCCACAAGUGAUUGUACUUAUAAAAGGAGAAGAUUGUUGUGAAAUGUGUAAUGAUACUUGAAAGGCAGUAGCUGGCAAGUCAGCAUGAAUGGUUUUCUAUUUUGCUCUUCAUUUGGUGAGAUGGAAUAAGGGUAUCCACACUGGCCCCAACUCCUCAGACUGGGGAUGAUACAACUACAAGGUGCAUCCCUACAUGGUCAGAUCAUUUUGGUAUCUCCUAAUGCUAACACCGAGACUUUCGGCCUUUGAAAUUCCUGGAAGUCUUAUGAGGAGUGACUGAGGGAACUGGGAUUGUUCAGUCUGGAGAAGGCUCAGGGGAGACCUUAUUGGUCUCUACAACUGCAUGAAAGGAGGUUGUAGUGAGGUGGGUGUCGGCCUCUUCUCCUAGGUAACAGCAGUUAGGAUGAGAGGUGAUGGCCUUAAGUUGUACCAAGGGAGGUUCAGAUUGAAUGUUAGGAAAAAAUUAUUCUCAGGAAGAGUAGUAACACAUAGGAACAGGCUGCCUAGGGAGGUGGUGGAGUCACUGUCCCUGGAAGAGUUCAGGCACUGAGGGGUAUGAUUUAGUGGGCAUGCUGGGGAUGAGUCGACAGUUGGAGCAGAUGAUCUUGGUCUCUUCCAACCUUAAUGAAUCUAUGAUUCUAGGAUAAUGAUUCUAUGAAGGAUUAGCCAGUUGUUCCUCCACCUAAGACAUAACUUUUUACUUCCCCCCCCCCCCCCAAAAAAAAAAAAAAAGUUUUUUGAUCGACAUAUUCAUAUGUCCAUUUGGCAAUUAAAUGUUCUGUUUUUAUCCUCCACAAUGUAAGAGCUGCAUCUCUUUCAGGAAUCUAAAUCUGAUUUGUGUCCCACCUUACCAACAGACUAAUUAUGACUUUAGCAACAAGUGCCCUGAGACACCUCUGCAAACUAUUGAUGCUCAGAGUUGAUCAAGGAGAAGCUAGAAGCAUCUCCACAUAUUCCUGUUGUGCGUUGCAAGCCACAGCUCAACCACCACCAUUAUGGCAAACUUCAUUUGUUUUUGCAGACAUCAGGGUGGAAUUUGUGUCAUUUCUCUUUCAGCAUCUACAGAAUAGAUAUCUACAGCUGUGCUAAUCACUCUGGGCUCUCCUUAUAGGCAAGGAAGAGAAAUAAGUGUUUUUAGGGUGCAGUUUUCCUGACCUACUGUAUACAUUUACUUAAGGAGGACGAAUCACACUCAAGAUUCCUAUGCAUAGCCUGUCUAUGUCCUCACUGACUGUACUGAUAAUCUGGGAUGAUUAGCUUAACUGCGUACCAUACGCAUGUUUAUUUACCUCUGCUUAAUUACAUAAGUGAUAUCCACUGCCCAUUACAGAGCAGGCUUUGAAUGUAGAUGAUGUAGGCAAUUUCUGCAAGUAUUAUAGCAGACUGAAGCAAGCAGUGGUGCAUCCUCUUUCCAUGAAAUGGAAGAACUGUCUUUGUUGAGAGGAGGAUACUCUAAUUCCUUCUGUUUCUCCAUGGAACAGGACCUGACUCUUCUGGAAGAAGCAAAUAGGAGACAUUGACGUUGGCAGCAGUGUGAACUGUAGGUGGAGGAGUUAAUUGAGAGGUAGUUUAGGGACAUGGCAGGUUGCACUGGCUCCCAAAUGAUUAGAGAUGGUGGGGGAUCUGGUUGGGGAUUUGCUUAAGGAUCCCACCCAACUCUGCUCCAGAGGCAUUAAACAUCCCUGUGCUACCUAAUUCCAUUCCUUCUUUGUCUCAUGGAGUGUCCUGAAACCUCCUCAUAGCCCUCACAUUCACCUCCCCUCUCUCUCUCUCCAAAACCCAAUUUCCUCUCCCCAUCCUCCAAAGUGCCCUCAACUGGUCUCUUCUAGCCUCCUUUCUUGAAAGCUCUUCUCCAUCUCCUUCAAACUGUGAGGGGUCUUCAGAUCAAAGAGCAUUAGAGGGUGUAUGGUGGCAUGCAGUUUCCUAUGUUAGCUUGUGUUUUCAUAGAAUGGCUUGGGUUGGAAGGGAUCUCAAGGAUUAUCAAGCUCCAACCCCCCUGCCACAGGCAGGGCUGCCAACCUCCACAUUUAAUACUAGACCAGGCUGUCCAAGGCCCCAUCCAACCUGGCCUUGAACACCUCCAGGGUCAGGGCAUAGACAGCCCCUCUGGGCAGCCUGUUCCAGCACCUCACCACUCUCACAGUAAGGAACUUUCCUCUUAUAUCCAACCUAAAUCUUCCCUCCUUCAACUUAAAAUCAGUUCCCCUUGUCCUGCCAUUAUCUACCCUUUCUAAGAGCUGUUUUCUCUCUCCUGUGCUUGUGUUUUAUAUUUUUCAAAGUACAUUUUUCAAAAUUUGAAUGAUGCUCACUUAAGGGAACACUUAAUAAUUUUGUUUACAGUUAGAAAUCUUAAUUAAUAAGAAAUAGCCAUAAGAAUGGCCCAGGAACUUCAAGAGAACACAUAAAAUUUCCUCUGGAGCCCAGAAUGAUGCCCAGAGAAAGGUCUCCAGUGAUGUAUUACAACACUUUUUAAACUUAAAUUGCAUAAUGAAUAUUCAUAAUACUUAUUAUAGCAUAAUUAGUGAAGUAACAAGGGUUUGAAGAUAGGAGUCUGGCAAGAUCUGUACAAGAGAAAAUGCCCCAUCCCUGGAGGUGUCCAAGGCCAGGCUGCAUGGGGCCCUGGGCAGCCUGGUCUGGUGCCUGAUUUAGUGGGUGGCAACACUGUCCAUGGCAGGGAGUUGAAACUAGAUGGUCUUUGAGGUCCCUUCCAACCCAAGCCAUUCUAUGAUUCUAUGAAGAGAAAGAAAUUUAAUUUGUUUGCCUGACUGAGGUAUGAGGGAAAGCAGACAAGCUUUAGGCAUGAGGCCUUUAGGUAAAUAGUGAUAGAGAGAUUACAACCUCCGAAUUAUGCUUAUGGAUCAUAUAAACUCCACAUGGCUGGAAUCAGAGGACACAUUUCAUAUCAAGGGAAAUUUUUAAUAGAAACAACAAGUUGGUUUUGGUUCACCUUUAUGGUUUUAAAACUGUGAGAUGAAAUAUUUUUCCUACAUCUGCAAAAUAUUUUGAAUUUUGAAAAUGUUUCUAUCUGAAGUGCAAUAAAAAGCAGGAGCUGCAAUAAGUUGAUGAGUCAAUAAUGAAUAAACACAGUGUUUUGAAUUGAAAAUUUUGGCACAUUUCAGUGCAGUUACUAUUACUGAUACAUUUUUCCUGUGGAUACACUGACAUUUAAAAACCAAUCUGUAAUGAAGGGAAAAGAAAAAAUAACAUACAUAGCAUGUGGAAACAAAAGGCUCAGAAUCAGAAUUAUUUUGCAGAAAAAUCAGGUUUGAAAAUGUAUCUUUUUCUGGACAAAAGAGUGAAAUAAAACAGUUCAUCAACAGUGCUCAUACUCACUUGCAGACCCAGCAUAUGUGUGUACCACUGACACAACACACAGUUGCCUUCUAAAUACUUAAUUAAUUGUUAGGAUGAUAGUUAAUAGUCGUCCCCAGAUUUUCAAUAACGGGACGAUCCUCCUGUCAGUGCUGCUACUGCAAAUCUUUUCUUCACCCUUGCAGUGCCCUUCCCUGUGCAACUGGGCAUUUUCAUUCCUCUAUUUAUUCCAAUGAACUACAGAGACCCUGAGCAUCUUUCUCUCUAUUAUUAUGCAGAUCUGCUUUUCUAGAUUCUUGGUAUUUUAUUUAUUGCACAAGCGUAACCCACUGGUAAUCAAUGACUACAAUUACAAGACCUUGAACACAAUGAUAGAAGAAAUAAUAUUUUAUGUUUGGCUUGAAAAUAAACAGCCCUCCAUUAGCACAUUUUGCUCACCAUGACUACUGGUGAUGAAGGAAGUCGUCCACCUUGACAUCCCUUGAACCAGGCUACAGUACCACAAGGACUAUAUACACAUUAAAAGACAACUAAUUGAUUAGGGAUCUUUUAAAAAAUUUGGGCCAGAUCCUGAAUCCCACAUGCAUCACACAUUCAAAAAAUGAUUUUCCAAAAGACUCUGAGAAUUUCUGCAAGAUGCGUAGCACAUGUCUGACCUUUUCCUGUCCCCAUGAGGUUCCAGGUCCCUCCUCACUCUCAGCCCCAUAGGCACUGGCCAUCCGAGUCCUGAUCCUGCCAGAGUCGGACUGCAGAUGUGAUGAACACUAGCUGCUGUCUUUGCCUGGUAGACAUGUCCAUCCAACACUGAAUCUUUCACAAAUUUUGCCUUCAGUAAAGAAGAGAGGAAGAAAAAUAGAAUAAGAAAUCAUGAAAACCAUUUUUAGAGGGAUUUUAAAUUUGUGCUGCGCUUUCUGAUUCAGAAUUUGAGCUGCACUCUGUGUUUCAGAUACAGUUGGACUUGUUAUUAAGACAAGCAAAGAUACAGUUGAAAAAUGCUGCUAAUAAUCUGGAUAAUUACUUUCAAAAUGAUCUACAUAAUUCCUGAAAUAGCUAAAAUAGAUACAUUCAACAUCCAUAACAAAGAAUAGUAUUCAAAGCAUUUAUAAACUAAAUACUGUUGCCACCACAGUCUCUUCAGACCUACCACCAAUUUGAUAUAUAUUUUCAGACAAGCCCAGGAAAAAUAUGAUUUGAAGGAUCCAUUAAAAGGGAAACUGCUAUUCAACUUUGGUUGUUGAUAGAGCCAUAAAAUAUAUAUUUAUAUGCAGUUUUAUAUAUACAAAAUGAAACUCACAUCCUACAGUAUCUUACUGGAGCUCAGAUGCAGCACAUGACAUAUUAUAUCUGUGGAAAUGGGAUCUAUAACCUAAUGUAUUCUUGCAUCAAAGAAUAAUGUCUCAUAAAUAAAUCAUUACAGCCUGUCACAUCUAUGGUUUCACACUGUAGUGUAUAAAAUAAUGUAUUUUGAGAUACGAGAGAAGGUGAUUAUCUAAUGUUUCAACAAAAAAAGAUUGUCCUGUGCUAAUGCAUGUGCUGUCUUAGAGGUGUUAUUGCCUUACCGCUGUUCAUUGAAGACUAAUCCAUCAUAUCAAAGGAGCGACAGCAUUUCACUUUUAAAAAACUGACACAAUUUGCACGCGGCUUUUCUCUUUCAGUAAUUAAGAAAUCAAAUAAGCCUGAGUGAAACUAUUUAAGAGGUUCUAGAUAUAAUUAGAACACCUCAUUCUCUCAUAACUAAUUCCUAAUUAAAGUAAUUUGUCUUUUUGCCCUUCUUUUCAAGGGUGAAGAGCAAGUGGUGAUGAAUGCUCAAAAUCAGGAAAAGUGAAAAUUGCAGUGUGUUGAUUUGCAGUGAUUGAGCGCGUUCCAGUUUUUAACAACCACCUUCGGCUGCAAAGCUAAAUGAAUCUCCAGCCUCUAUUUACAUUGAGAAUGUGUGAUCCAGAGCCUGACAAUUGAUAGAAUCUGGAGACAAAAGGGCUGAAGUCUGAGUCUGAGUUCAAAAGUUGCCUAUAUUAAGCUUUGCACAGGGGGAAAAAAUACAGUGAGACUGCACAGGAGAGAGAAGAAGUCUGAAAUUUGCUCCACUGGGUGAAAAUUGUCCUUUUAAAAUUUUAUUUGCAGCUGUGCCCAGAUGAUGACGGAUUUAUCAUAUGAACCAGGGAUUAGUAAACAAUGUGUACCCUAUAAAGAGCAAAACAAGUCCUUGCUCAUCACUGCACUUAAUUGCAGUGGUUAUAUCAAAGCCAUAUAAAAUUUAAUCAUCAACCACAAGUAAGAUUUUGCCUUGCAUGUGUGCUUGCUUCCCUGUUUUUCCACCUGUUUAAAUGAAAGAUUCUUGGAAUAUCACAAUAUGUAAAUAUUGUUUAUGAUGCAAAAAUAUGCUCUUUCAUCUCCUGGCUGCUUUGAUGUCGUGAUAUACAAAGCUUUUAGUGCCACCACCUACCUGACACACAAAGGUCUUAUCUGAUUCAUAAACAUGUGUGCCCAGUGCAAACAGGCUGUAUCCAAUAGAUGAUUUUUCUUUUCCUUGCAAUGUUUUUUUAACAGACAGAAAGAGAAAGAAAGUGUAAAUGACAGAACUGCUCAGGUGAAAAGAUUAUUUUAAGCAUCAGGUAAAGAUAAGCCCAUUAUGACAGAAGAAAAAGAUGUAGGUCAGUAUCGAUCCUAAGAGGUUAGUUAUAUAUAUAGUCAUCUCGUAAAAUGUGUUUUAAAAGCUGAAACUUUUUUUAAAGACUUUUGAUCCAAGUGGGAAAUAAGCAGCAAGAUCAGGUGCCCUCCUAAGACAUACAAAUAUGCCUAAUUAGCAGGAGAAGAAAGAGAAAAGCAGGAAGUGAGGUCAACACUGGAAACAGGGCAAACGGAGUCAGGGAGGGAAUAAGGUGUAGGUAAUAGUUAAAAUUUGCGGCUCAUUGGUAACAAUUUUAAACCUAAAGGAGCAGCUUAUUACAGGUUAAUCCAUGAUAUGUCUAAUUUACAGCUAUGUGUAUGUGAAUUUCUCAUAAAACAACGGGAUGGAGCUUCGGUCUGAUGGAGCCUGAAUUCUGCAAGGGGCAGCUGCUGUCUCCAGCUGAAAACACAAUACUGUUUGAGAGAAGUGUUACAACUGCUAGCAAAGGUCCUCUGGGCUUUUUAGGGCAAAUUAGGUCCCCAUACCCUCAGGGAUCCCACAGCUGUUCCCCCUGAGCACACAGAGCACCAAGAUGUGUGCUGAUGGCUGCAACAGCAGCAUAGCAGGGCUUGAUCUCAGCCACCUGAGAACAGAAUUUGGCCAUUUAAUAUCACACAAUAUCACAUAAACUGCAAGAACUUCAAGGUGUAAUGCUUCUUCUCUUUCUUCUUUCUCUCUUCUUUUUUUUUUUCCCUUUCCAUUCCUUUUUUUUUUUUUUUUUUUUUUUCUCUGUAUCCAGGAGCACCCUGGGAAAUCCUUUCGUGUUCUUUAUUUCCAUCUAAGCCCUGGCUUGCUUUGAACAGCAGAGGUAAUUGUGCGGGUGAACUUCAGAGAUUUGAAGGGAUCAAACUUGAAAGCCCCUGCCUGAAAGUGCAAGCUCCAACUGGAAUGUUGUCAGGUGCUGUGAGACGGGACGUGGCGGUGCUGCCGUCGGAGGAAUCCUUGCACAGGGACAGUCUGAACCUGCGCAGCGCUCCCUUUGCACAGCCCCUGCAGUUAGCAAGGCUCCCAUAACCCACAGCAGUGCUCAAAUGAGGCAGUACUGCCCUCUCUGAUCUAUAAAUGGGUGUGUGUGAUGAUGUGACUUGAUGAAGGUCAUCUAUGUCAGACAGUGGCAGAGGGUGAAGAAACCAUCCUGAUGUCUAUUUUCAGGUUUUCCCUGAGCAUCAGAGCAGAGAAGCCAAAGGGAUGCAGGUCUACAUCGUUUAUGAGAGCUACAUGUUCCUCUGGCUAGAAAAUCCUGGGGGAUUCAAUAAUAAUAAUAAAAAAAGAAGAAUCAGGGAAGAACUGAGAAGAAUAUAAUAGAAGUUUGCAGAUGGGGAAUUUCAGAAACCAGCAAAAUUCACGGAAGGAGAUUGUUACAAAACACAGCCUUUGCAAUGGAUUUAUACAUUCUUUUAAAUUUUACACGACAGCCAAAACACUCCAGAUACGCUUCCUCCCUCUGCCAGUUUUCCUCGAUCUUCUCUUUGAGCACAGGUGAAGUUCCUCAUGUUCCAAGACAGGGCAGGGUAUGUUCUGCUGCCAUUUCCCACACCCUUCUCAUGCCGUAUCUGACUAUCAGCACUGCUGCAAUCCAGGAAAACAGGAAACAUCAGAGCCAGUUGGAUUUUUCAACUCCUGAAUGUGUUUUGUUCAGAGUUCCUUUGGAAAAUAAUCAGGAAAACAAAAUAUGUUUUUACAAUUGUUUUUCCCCACUGGGUUUCAGACAACAGCAGCUAUAACAUGAAGUGAAAAAUAUAUUUAUUUCUUCUUCAAUCAAAAAUAUUUGGCUUGACCAAGAAAAUCUAUCUUAGUAAUCACAUACUGUGUCAAUGCCAUCCAUCUUCUUCUACAAUAGCUAUUGUCAUCGAUAGUGAAAGUUUGUUUCCUGUAGUAAGAAGCAUGGGAGAUGUCCUUUCUUGUUCCGUAUUUUGUUCUGCUUUGCCCUGUCAUAAGGCUAUUAACUACACAGUUACGUUUCAUUUUAAGAUUCUCAGUUAACACUCCCUGUCUUUACACUGCAAACUGUUUCAUCUUCUGAAUUGCGAUCUGCCAGUGGCUGAUGCUGGCAACACAGCACAACGUACAGACUUCUGAUCUCUUUUGGCCUGCAAGCUUUUCUUUCCUAACUGAUGGAUGAAAACCAAUUCCCUGUGCAAUUUGCUGAACUUUACUGUGGUUCUCAGUGCCAUUUCAAUUUAUGCCUAAUAGGUGGAGAAUCACAGAAUCACAGAAUGUCCCCGAAGAUCACUGAGCCCAUCUCCUGGCUCCACUUGGGGCUCCCUAAGAAUUAAACCAAAGACAUGUGAAUGCAAACUGAUUCAGAUGAAAUCCAUGACAGUCCUUCCACUUCCGGCCCUCUCAUAUGGGCAGACCCUUGCUUCAUUCUCACUUACUAUUGAAUAAAUAGUAUACGACUUUUGUGGAAUCAGCUAAGGAUUAGUGUUCCACACUCACACUUGUUGCCAUCCGUCUCUUUUCCAAAUUAUCCAUUUCAGCCACUGUGUGUGUUGAAGAGGUGUAAAACAUUGGUCUGAUAUGUGUGUGCUAUUACAGGAAGAAAUACAAGAGCAAACUCUCCUCUAACCCAUUUGAAUGCUUGUGAGACUGUUGGAGUUGUUGAGGUUCAAGGAAUGCCAUCUCCCAGGCUCCUCAUUGUCAUCUUCUUGGUAUCUGAACAUCUGGGGACAGCUGAGUCUGUGCAAGUUCAGUAGGAAAAGGAAAAUUAGUCAAAAGUACAUUUCUGCUCUGUAAGUGGUGUAUUUAAUUUCCAGCUAUGGAACAAAACACAAUUACCCAUGGUCCAUUUUUUCUGGGGUCAAGGCUGGCUAGAUUGUUGUAAUAAUCGUAAUAACACUCCCUCACUUGCUAUUUACCUUGGGAGCUAUUUGCUGUCCUUUGUCUGCAUCUGACUGUUGUGUAGGGACUGUGCCACAUCUUUGUGGUACAGCGUGUGUUUGGUUGCAGGGAUCUUUUGUGUCAGAAAAGGUAAACUUUGCACUCACAUAAAUUCUGUACUAGCCAGGACACAGUGAGACCUAUUCAGACUACUCACUUUCCUGAUAUAUGUAGCCACAUAAUCAUGGAAUAAAGACUCUGCAAAGUAUAUAGUGUUUUAAAGAUAAUUUGUACUACAGCAGCGCAUAGAGGAAGGGGUGCUUGGUAUGAAUUACAUAGAAAAAGUAUACUUCACCAUGACCUGGGGAUCAGUUGCAGAUUCAACUCCAGUUUGGUUUGGCCAGAUGUGCAAAAGCUAGGAGGAAGGUGUAGAAAGCACCAGUGUAACCAUGUGAAACCAGGCUUUGAAAAAUAAAGAACUGGCUCAAGAUCACAGGACAUGAUCUAUGGAAGAGAAAGAAGUUUUGCAUGUAUCUCCCGAAUUGCUCUGUAGUGUAGUAACUAGUAUUCCCUUUACUCCCUUGAUGCUAUAUGGGAUGUAAAAUAAUGCUCAGUUGCUGACCUCACAUACAGCAAACUGACCCAUUGUUUUCUAGGGAAAUUCAGCCAUGCAGAAAGGAAAUGCUCAGACAUCUAAAUAGCAAAACCAAAGCACUUAUGACCUUUUCUCCUGCCAAGAUCAAAGCAGCAACUUAUUUUCUCCUUUUUUCAAAUUUUAGUGACAUUAGCUAAUGUCACUGCUAAUGUCAACGUGCCAAGGUAUCUUGGUGCCAACUGAACAGCCAGGACUGGUAUUGCAAAGAUACUAAUGAUGUGCUGCUGCUGUCUCAAAGGGAUCCAUGCUGCCAGGCGCUUGUGAAGGACAAGGAAUAAUUUGUACUUUGCAUUGAGCCUUUCACUUGCUUGCAAAAGGUUGCCUGAGUGGAAUGGGACACACAUCAUAAGCUCAACACUUCUUUCAAAUUCCAAACAUACUUUCCUAACUCCACUUAUUACUAAAAUCAUGAUUUUAUCAUUCAAGAGCCCUAGCAAAUCAGCAGAGAAGAAUGUAAGAAAAUUCUACUACUGAGAUCCUAGCCUUGUUGUUCACAGGAAGUUAAAGCGAAACUCUUACAAGCAGAGCAGAGAUGCUUAACAGUCCUUGUGUGCUCACAAAGAAAAUAGAUUUUGUUUAUCAUUUAGAUCAAAAGAACAGGCAGAUUUUUAUUGAUUUUUGAGAUACAGCACUGAUCUUUGCCUCUGCGUCUAAUGGCUGUGAGCACUGGGUGCUACAGUAAUAGUGAGGAAAUAUAGCAAUUUUACACUGUUAAAUCUUUAUCUUGACUGUCUCUAAUUUAUCCAUCUUUAAUAAACCCCACUGCUCUGCAGCUGGUAACUAAAUCAGAGGCACAAGCACAACAUGAAGAGGACAAACUGAAGCCUUCUCCACAAGAUAUGAGGAAAGGACAUGACCUGCAAAUACACUGCCGAAAAGGCUGUGUAUAUCUUAAAUCUCAAUAAAUUGCUUAUUGUGGUGAUUUGGGAUAGCGUGGUGGCACAGCACUGAGUUUCAGCAAAGAAGGAGCUAUUCAGAUUAGCUGCUCUCCAGGGCUGUGGGCCCAGCUCCCUCAGGAUCCAAUGAAAAAAAGGAAUUUGUUCAUACAGUAUGAAUAGAGUUUCUGCAAGUGAAUCAAAAUCUAUUCAUAGUGAAUAGAAUCAUAGAAUCACUAAGGUUGGAAAAGACCACUAAAAUCUUCUAGUCCAACCAUCAACUCAUCCCCACCAUGCCCACUGAUCAUGUCCCUCAGUGUCACAUCUCCACAGUUCUGGAACACCUCCAGGGACAGUGACUACACCACCUUCCUGAGCAGCCUGUGCCACUGCAGCACCACUCCUGAGAAGAAAAUUUUCCUAAUAUCCAAUCUGAACAUCUCCUGGCACUACUUACAGCCAUUACCUCUUGACCUAUUGCUGUUACCUGGGAGAAUAGACCGACCUCCACCUCUUGUCUUGGUGGCAGUAUUUGAAUAGCUGGUCUUGCCAUUUGCUUCUUGACUUCUUUGGUUGAAAUGCCAGAAGAGACUUGUAAUCCCACUUUGUGCAGUCUAAAAUAUGACCAUAACUCUUUAUCUUCUGAAGCUACUGCAGCUACUGAAAAAGGGUAGUAAAUUACCAUCUGACAAUGGGAAAGGAAAAAUGCUGUUCUAGACUCUCUGCUUUCAAAAUGUUCUUCCUUACCUGAAAAGUUUACCUAGUUUAUUCAAUAUUCAUGCUUUUCAGACAUGAUGCCCUUGCUUCCUAUGUUCAAAUUGUAAGGAAGUAUUAUUGCCCAAUGCCAGAAACUUGCAACUAUUCUUUAAUACGCUAGGUGCACUGACAUAUUUGCACUCAGACUCUUACAUAAAUUUCAUUUUCCAUUGAAACAAAAGAUUGUACCUUUGCAGGUCAUGAGGUCACCAAAAAGCCAACUACUAUUUUGUUAAAUUAAAGAUCUGAAUUUGUUCUGCAACAGGAAGGUUUGAGGGAUUUCAUAGACAUGAAUCAACUUGGAUUUUUGAAAAUUGGGGUAUUUUUACUUCUCAUUUUACUGGCAUAACAGUGAAAGAUGUACUUCCAGAAGACAUAUUUGUAUAUCUAACUUCUCACUUUUCAUCACUGUCUAUAUGAUAACUGUGACUGCAGUUUUUUUGCACUGGUAAAAGAGAAUAUCAGUUGUGCAUCAGCUGUGCUCGUCAUAAGAGACUCUUAAGUCUUAGCCAAUGUGAAUACAGAGGAGUCUAUACUUUUGCACAGACAAAAGCUUCUGACCUUCUUUACUGGCAGAGUGAAAAUGAGUGUUAGCCUCCUUGCUCAGGCAGCAUUUCAUCCUAUGAGAUCAUUUUAGUUCCUUUUAAUAACUUGUAUUUGUUUUGUGAGGUAUUUAGGAAGCGUUGGCAGGUAGGGUGCAUGAGUGAAACUCUUUCUUAUGUUAGAGCUAUUUGGAAUAGAAGACAAUUGAGAUUAGCUGAUGACUGAGUAUUCUUAGGGAAUGAACUUCUCUCUUUGAAACUCUGAGCUCAUGUGUUACUACAUUUAACUCGCAGCUCUGUCAGGUUUACAACGGCACAGGGGCAUGCAGGGUGCACGAUGGCAGCAGCGAUGGGGGAUUCACUGGGUAACGCUGCAGGUGCACGUGUUGCUCAUGGCAGCAGCUCCAGCCAGAAAUGCUGCUUUUAUCGAGGUCAUAAAUCAUGUCAGCCCUCCUGAAUACAGUUUUUCAAAAGGGUGAAGCCAUGGCUUGUGUGCUGGAUAUUUAUCUUGCUCUUCCUAAUGCUUUCCCAAAAGCUCUCCUUGAAGGCGGUAAACAGUUCUUUUGGCCAUAAUUAGAACUAAUUGAUUGCUAGAGGGGUUUUAGACCUGUGUCAAACCAAAGGGACAGAGAUGGGAAGAGGAGGCUGAUUCCCAGGCUGUUUCCUUGGCCGUGUACGUGGGCACACAUCAUGGAAGGGAUGAGUUCUAUUGACCCAAGGCAGUGGUGCUCAGGUGUCUGGUGAGUGUGGUGGGAGCCUCUCUGUACUCUGCUGUGGCUGCAGAGACGAUGUGAGCUUUGAACACUCACUCCACGCUCUGCAAAGUGGCAAUGUGGCCCCUGCCAUCCCCGAGGCUGGGCUGAAAGCUCUGAAGUUUGCAGAGAAACAUGCUGCGUCAGGCACAACCAGGCUGGCCCCACAUAAAGUCAAUACUUGUGUGAAAACAAAUAAAAUCUUAGAGUACGAGGCAGAGGCUAAAGAAUGCCUUCACCUCUUUCCUUCAAGCAACUAUUUUGUUAACUUGAAAGACGGCAGGGGUGAUCUUACUCCAUUCUUUCUCUACAGGUCAAAUACUUGUCAUAGGAGACACCCUAGUUAAUAUUAAACUAAAAAUUAAUAGAUUAGAUAACUAUUAUAUGCUUUUAGUGCCAAUUAAUUUAAUAGCUGGUUUUUUUUGUUUUGUUUUGUUUUCUCUUUUUCUAGCAAGGUAGGUGAAUAUAGCAGCACAGUUUACUGUGUCUGUAUGAGCUCUCAGAUGGGUCUUUUGUGCUACAAUUACCACCAAUUGAUUGGACUGACACAUGUAAUCCCCUUUGGAUCACCCAACGAUAUGAUGUCAGUAAGAAGUCCUUCAAACAGACUAUUAAAAAGCACAUUAAACAUGUCCUUAUUGUAAGCUUUAUGCUAGCUUAUGCUAAAAUAACAGUGAUACAGUGGUAUUUGUUUGAAAAUGAAAGGAUUAUAUGGUCUUUGUAAAAUGAGGAAUUUAGUAUUGGGAGGGGCAGUGGGAUGGUGAUUUAUUUUUUGUUUAUGUUCUUCCGAAUCCUUUGAUAUGUCAACUUCUGUCACUAACCAUUAGGCCACUUGUAAUUUCUUGUAUCAACGAAGAUGAAAUACAUACUGCCUCCAAUAAUUUAUGUCAAAUAUUGAAGGGCAUGGAUGGUAGUGCUUAUUGUGAGAUUAUAAUGAGAAUUGAACUGGGGGCUUCAGAAAUCCAUAGGUAAUUUAUUGUUAAAGAGCACGCAUGAAUCACUCCGGCCUUUAAUUGUCAUGUGGAUGCAUUUUGCUUUCAGCUUGCGCUGGAAACAAAUUGCUGAAAUGGAAUGAUAACUCAGAAGAAAGAUUUCACCAUGACCCUUUGUACUUAUUAAUAUAGUGCCAAGAGUGUAAUGAGUGCCAUGCCUUCUCUUGGGUCAGAUUCUGGUGCGUAGUGAAAGGAAUGCCUUGAAAUUUGUAUUGCUUUUCAUGAAGAAGAAAAACAUAAACAGCAGCAUAUACACCUCGCAAGCAAGGGAUGAGAGUCAAAAAGAUUUGUGGUAUUUAUAAUACUGCACAAUAAAGGUGACCAGGGGAUUUUAUAGGAUGAUUUAACACUGAACUGUGCAAAGAAAUUAAGCCGUUCUGGAGAUUUCUUUGUAACGCACCAACAUCCUCAUCAUCCCUCUUUGCUCUGCUCUCUUUUUAUCUUACAACGUCAAGGUAACACUCCAAAGUGGUUAACCAACUGCUGUGCAUAUCUUACAUAGAUGUGCUGCUUUAGAUCAUGCUGCUGCUCCCAGAGAGAGAAAUUUCAUUGUUAACCCGAAUCUAGGUGUUUUUGUCAAAAAAAAUCAAAGCUACCAGAAAAUGGAUAUAAAUUAUUCGCAGGGUCUGGUUUUCUGACUGCUUUAAUAUCAUGUAAUCAAAGGACAGAUUACUCAAAAUUACUCCUCUUGAGUGCUUCAGUGUAGUCAUCACAGCACUUCUCUGCGACUACUUCACAGUUUCUCAUAAUGUAAGAAUUAGGGGCUACGCAGUGAAACUAGGAAACAGCAAGCUUAAAAUAUACAAAAAAAAAAAAAAGAAAGAAAAAAAAGGGGAUUUGAAAGCAUUUGAAAGCAGGAUGUGUGAUCAAAAUGAGGUACAACUUGACACAGAAAUUUAUGGAAGCCAAAAGUAUAAAGUGUAGAAGAAUUUAACAAAGUCACGAAGGAUAGAUUCUCUGGUGACUUUUAAGCUAAAUGGUCUUGAUGUGGUCACUGUUUUUAGGAGUCCAUUACCCAGAAUGACUAUGAAGAAUGAAUUACAUUUGGGAAGGAGAACUCUGAAUUUGAUCUAUCCAUUUGCUCUUCCCCUGCUGACCACUACCAGAGACAGGACUCUGGCGUAAACUGCCUUUAUGCUUUGUGGCUGCUCUUACAUCCAUAGAAAACUCUUGUAGCCAUUAUGAAUAAUGAAGUGUGUCUUUCACAGAAUCACAGAAUCGUACAGGUUGGAAGGGAGCUCUGGAGAUCAUCUAGUCCACCCUGACAACUCACCCACACCAUGCCCCCUAACCAUGCCCCUCAGUGCCACAUCUCCACAGUUCUUGAACACCUCCAGGGACGGUGACUCCACGACCUCCUUGGGCAGCCUGUGUAACUGCAGCACUGCUCUUUCUCAGAAGAAGUUUUUCCUAAUAUCCAACCUGAACCUCCACUGGCGCAACUUUACCUCUCAUGCUAUCACUAUGCUGUUACUCAGGAUAGUAAAGAGGCAGUACACGGAAGAUCUUUGAUGUUUCAUUCAAAUUAUUUAUGGAGGAGGAACUAUUUUCUAACAGAUUUUUUUUUUUUUACAUUAGUAUGCUGUAAAUUGCUUUGUCUAUGAAGAUAUCAGAGCACUUACCAAUCCAGAGUAGCUUUUCAUAGAAUACGUUCGCUACAAAUAGCUAUAGCACAGCCUAAACUGGACUGUUAGUUAAUCCCAGAUAAAAUCCAUCUCAGGUUCUCCUACAAAUAGCACAUGUUCAAGACCAAGCCCUGACACAUCAGUGAGUAAACCUCAAUAAGCUGCUUCAGGAUAGUGCCACUACAACAGCUUCAUAACACUUGCAAGUGCCAGUAAAGGAUGCCGAAGUGUUGGUUUGCCAGGACUGGAACAGAGCAGCGACCACAGGUGCUUAUUUUCCCUUUUUGUAGUUCAUCGGUGUCAUGCAACUGUUGGCUCAGUCAGCAGAUGUGUCAGCUCUUGGAAUAACAGCUACUUAUGUAGGUUAGGUACAGUGCCAAAAGGUAAGUGUUAUAAAGAGUAAAACUGUAAAGAAUUAUGAACAUAAAGCCUGUGAUAGUAAAGGUGACUCCUUAGCAUUAUGCGCCACAGCAACAUAUUUUACCAAGGGCAGGAAAAGUCAGCUUUAUUUUCACCCCGUCACAAGCCGUAAGUGCUGAGCUAUGUGCAAUUUCCUGUUGGAUUUAAAUAGACACAUUUCUGAGCCCUAAUUUUUACUCUUUUCAUCUCUAGUAAACAAAUUGCCAAUUAAUAAUUAUGAAUUGAUCUCACAUGGCACAAACCUGUGCAAAAUAAUGCAGUAUCCCACUACCAUGCUUUUGGUAGCACUGUGAGCACAUCUGUAUAGAAGUUAUAGUUCAGAAAGGAGGAAAGCCCAGCACAGGACCCAGAACAUGGUCAAGGACCAAGAGCACCUGACUCACAGGGAGAGGCUAAAGAAACGGUUUGUUUGGUCUGGCAAAGAGGAUAAGGGGUAAUGUAAUAGCACCUACUUGACAGGGAGUUACAAAAAAAUGACAUAGCCAAACCUUUCUCAAUGGUCCUAGACAAUGUAACAAGGGGCGAUGGCCACAGAGUGCAGCUUGGCAUGCUCAGGUUGGACAUUGGGAAAAAAUGCACUUGAAGAGUGUUGCAGCACUGGAACAGGUGCCCAAGAGGUUGUGGAAACUGUCCUUGGAGAACUUUAAGACUCAGUUAGAAGUUAAGCACAUCUGCAGCUGGCAAAUGUCCCAUGUCAUGUGGGAGUUGCAUGAGAGGCCUCCAGAUCUUCCUCCCAACCACCAUUUCUAUCUACUCUUUCAACUCUCUGCUUUAAUAAUUUAUACCUUAAAAGAGUGAUUUGCACCUCUGCUUUUUGCACACUCUUAAGUUGGCCUCUCAACCCUGGAGAUUUAGGGUAAGAAGUCAGUACUAUUUCUUCCUUUCAUUGUGCCUUGGAUGAAUCAAUGAAGUGGUCAUACUCAGAGGAUGUCUGCCAGGAGUGAGCAGUGUUGUGAGAAUGUGCUUGUGCUUGUGUAUAAAUCCAGCUGUCAUGCCACUAUCACUAACAGAAUGCUUCUGAUAUGCUCAGGAGCAGAACUUUAGGUGUCUGCUGCUGUCAGUCACUGGCGUGGUUAGACAGCAGUACAGUGUUCAUGGAGUUCAGAUUUUGGAUUUGGACAACUGAUGAGCUUGCUCAGCUCUGUGCUUUAGCGAGUAAUUUGGUUUAAAUUCUUAGGAAUUAAUGUUUAUGAAACCAGAUGUAACUGAGUCCCAGUGCCUUUGCUAUAUAAAUGGUCUGGGAAUUUUUUCUUUGAAGAAGAUGUAGCCUGAUCCUCUGAUCUGAAUUCCUCCACAAAGGUAGUUCGAAGCCAUCUGAAAGAUGAGCCUCUAUAUAUCCUCUCUGGAGCUUGAUGCAUUUUGGAGGCACAACUGGAGCAGAGCUUCCAGGUUCAUCUCUGAGAGGAAUCCAGCAAGCAUAUAACAAAACUUGAUGUAGGGAACUGCUUUAGCAGGGAUUGGACUAGAUGAUCUUAGAGGUCUUUUCCAGCCUUAAUGAUUCUAUGAUUCUAUGAUUUUAUCCUACCUAAACUGUCUGUAGCAAAGAUGUAACUCACCUUCCUGGGAGCACGAGAGGAAAUCCCUGCUCCUGUGUUAAUGCAGUGUAACUGAAAACAAAAUUUUCAAGAGAACAAAUUGCUGGCUGAAAUGCCCAGUAAGGGUUACCCAUCAUCACUCUUACUUCAAAAAAUAUGAGGUUCUGAUAAAGAAGGUGAGAAAGCAAUACAUUUUACAAGACAAUGCCUAAGCUGCAGUUAGCACAGAUGGAGAUAAAAUUCUCUCACUUGAAGAAGACUUUUAGAGAAGUUAUGGAUACCCCAUCCCUGGAGGUGGUCAAGGCCAGGUUGGUUGCAGCCCUGAGCAGCCUGGUCUGCUGGAUGACAACCCUGUCCAUGAUGGAGGGAUUGGAGCUUGAUGAUCUU
Molecule: long non-coding RNA, 36026 nt
Filed under: Gallus gallus (chicken)
Lineage: Eukaryota; Metazoa; Chordata; Aves; Galliformes; Phasianidae
Description: lncRNA (ENSGALG00010027633.1)
Source: RNAcentral